UGGGGAAUUUUGGACAAUGGGCGCAANCNUGAUCCAGCAAUGCCGCGUGCAGGAAGAAGGCCUUCGGGUUGUAAACUGCUUUUGUCAGGGAAGAAAUCUUCUGGGCUAAUACCCCGGGAGGAUGACGGUACCUGAAGAAUAAGCACCGGCUAACUACGUGCCAGCAGCCGCGGUAAUACGUAGGGUGCGAGCGUUAAUCGGAAUUACUGGGCGUAAAGCGUGCGCAGGCGGCUUUGCAAGACAGAUGUGAAAUCCCCGGGCUCAACCUGGGAACUGCAUUUGUGACUGCAAGGCUAGAGUACGGCAGAGGGGGAUGGAAUUCCGCGUGUAGCAGUGAAAUGCGUAGAUAUGCGGAGGAACACCAAUGGCGAAGGCAAUCCCCUGGGCCUGUACUGACGCUCAUGCACGAAAGCGUGGGGAGCAAACAGGAUUAGAUACCCUGGUAGUCCACGCCCUAAACGAUGUCAACUGGUUGUUGGACGGCUUGCUGUUCAGUAACGAAGCUAACGCGUGAAGUUGACCGCCUGGGGAGUACGGCCGCAAGGUUG
RNAcentral lists this ribosomal RNA (548 nucleotides) under uncultured bacterium. Its description in RNAcentral is "bacterial SSU rRNA". It matches the Rfam family "Bacterial small subunit ribosomal RNA", at positions 355 to 896 of the family's 1533-position model. The record is from RNAcentral.